RNAcentral lists this ribosomal RNA (253 nucleotides) under uncultured bacterium. RNAcentral describes it as "partial 16S ribosomal RNA". It matches the Rfam family "Bacterial small subunit ribosomal RNA", at positions 524 to 776 of the family's 1533-position model. The record is from RNAcentral.
UACGAAGGGGGCUAGCGUUGCUCGGAAUUACUGGGCGUAAAGGGCGCGUAGGCGGAUAGUUUAGUCAGAGGUGAAAGCCCAGGGCUCAACCUUGGAAUUGCCUUUGAUACUGGCUAUCUUGAGUUCGGGAGAGGUGAGUGGAAUGCCGAGUGUAGAGGUGAAAUUCGUAGAUAUUCGGCGGAACGCCAGUGGCGAAGGCGACUCACUGGCCCGAUACUGACGCUGAGGCGCGAAAGCGUGGGGAGCAAACAGG